RNAcentral lists this ribosomal RNA (497 nucleotides) under uncultured bacterium. RNAcentral's name for it is "partial 16S ribosomal RNA". It matches the Rfam family "Bacterial small subunit ribosomal RNA", at positions 28 to 507 of the family's 1533-position model. The record is from RNAcentral.
GAUGAACGCUGGCGGCGUGCCUAAUACAUGCCAGUCGAGCGAACAGACGAGGAGCUUGCUCCUCUGACGUUAGCGGCGGACGGGUGAGUAACACGUGGAUAACCUACCUAUAAGACUGGGAUAACUUCGGGAAACCGGAGCUAAUACCGGAUAAUAUAUUGAACCGCAUGGUUCAAUAGUGAAAGACGGUUUUGCUGUCACUUAUAGAUGGAUCCGCGCCGCAUUAGCUAGUUGGUAAGGUAACGGGUUACCAAGGGAACGAUGCGUAGCCGACCUGAGAGGGUGAUCGGCCACACUGGAACUGAGACACGGUCCAGACUCCUACGGGAGGCAGCAGUAGGGAAUCUUCCGCAAUGGGCGAAAGCUUGACGGAGCAACGCCGCGUGAGUGAUGAAGGUCUUCGGAUCGUAAAACUCUGUUAUUAGGGAAGAACAAAUGUGUAAGUAACUAUGCACGUCUUGACGGUACCUAAUCAGAAAGCCACGGCUAACUACGUG